CCUACGUGAGGCUGCAGUGGGGAAUAUUGGACAAUGGGCGAAAGCCUGAUCCAGCCAUGCCGCGUGUGUGAAGAAGGCCUUUGGGUUGUAAAGCACUUUCAGUGGGGAAGAAAGCCUUGGGGCUAAUACCCUCGAGGAAGGACAUCACCCACAGAAGAAGCACCGGCUAACUCCGUGCCAGCAGCCGCGGUAAUACGGAGGGUGCGAGCGUUAAUCGGAAUUACUGGGCGUAAAGCGCGCGUAGGCGGUCUGAUAAGCCGGUUGUGAAAGCCCCGGGCUCAACCUGGGAACGGCAUCCGGAACUGUCAGGCUAGAGUGCAGGAGAGGAAGGUAGAAUUCCCGGUGUAGCGGUGAAAUGCGUAGAGAUCGGGAGGAAUACCAGUGGCGAAGGCGGCCUUCUGGACUGACACUGACGCUGAGGUGCGAAAGCGUGGGUAGCAAACAGGAUUAGAUACCCUAGUAGUC
RNAcentral lists this ribosomal RNA (465 nucleotides) under Vreelandella stevensii. Its description in RNAcentral is "partial 16S ribosomal RNA". It matches the Rfam family "Bacterial small subunit ribosomal RNA", at positions 338 to 795 of the family's 1533-position model. The record is from RNAcentral. Lineage: Bacteria; Pseudomonadati; Pseudomonadota; Gammaproteobacteria; Oceanospirillales; Halomonadaceae.